Molecule: non-coding RNA, 5553 nt
Organism: Coffea arabica (coffee)
Lineage: Eukaryota; Viridiplantae; Streptophyta; Magnoliopsida; Gentianales; Rubiaceae
Source: RefSeq, a predicted model, not a curated record
UUCACUGGUUUCAGCCUCUAGAAUCUGGAAUGGUUGGACGAAAAUCAACAAACCCAUCUCCCAAACUGCCCCAAAACAACGCCUGUGUACUCAACCUGGCCGUACCAGCUUAAGCAUUGGAGCUAUUAUUCCUGUUCUUGUUCUCAUUCUAACCAGAAUAGGGGCUAUAGUAGCAGCAGCAGCCUUUUGGCCUUGAAUGAUCUGAGCGACAACAGGAGCUCCAGAAAGCAGAAGACCCGGAAAGGCCGUGGCAUCGGGUCGGGCAAAGGGAAAGCUGCAGGGAGGGGUCACAAAGGUCAAAAGGCCAGAGGGACUAUUAAGUUUGGAUUUGAAGGUGGCAAAAUCCCUCUUCGCCGCCGCCUCCCCAAACGUGGGUUUAAGAACCCUUUUAGCCUCAGUUUUCAGGUGAAUUCAAUAAGUCUAUCCACCCAGUCUUCGUUAUUACUGAUCUUUUAUCCUUUUCUGCAGUAGGAUGUACUUAAUUCCGUUGAUUGUUCUUUCUUUUUUUGUGGGAAAAUUAGUGAAAAGGGUGUGUUCUUGAAGCUCCAAUGAUGAAUGGGCCACAAAUUUGGGCUAUUGAUUGAAUGUAAUUCUAAAUGCACACAAAUAUAUUUACUUUUUGUAGAAAAGUCGGUAGAGAUGCCCCUUAACAGAAGCUGCUCAAAUUUAUGCGCCCUUUUCAAUAAUUUUUCCCGUGGUAUUCUUUUUGUGAUUGAUUAGUACCAAGUUUACUGAUUUUGUUGUUGAUUUAGUUUGUGUAUUAGUUCUUCACUGUGAGAUGGAGAAUAUGAGAGUCGAUUUUUUUGUUUGGAGGAUGAUUAUUAGCACUUUGGUGAUUUUUGAAGCAAUGUAGGGUUAAUUUGGUUUGGAAAGUGUUAUUAAGCUUGUAAGAGUGGUUUUUCUUCAACAAAUUUCUGUAUCAUGAAGUUGGUUGCAAGAAAAAGGGGAAACAAAUUUGGCAAGAUUUUUGUUGUGAAUGGGAACUAUUUGUAUUGAAGUUACCAGUAUUGGAUUUGAACUACUUAAACCUUGUUACAUAUACACACAAAUUGAGAAGUUUAGGAUGUAUGCAAAUGACAGGGUUGUCAGGUUGGCUAUACAACUCAUUGCAGGAGUCUUGCUCACUGGAAAAUAUGCAGAGGAAGAUAAUUUUGGAACUAUGUGUUGUGUAGUGAGGGAAAAAUGUGCUGCUCACCUAGAUUUGCUUAGAAUGUUGUGUGGUGUUUAUUGUCCUUCCUUUGGAUGAAAAGCAACUAUUUAGUAGCUUGAAUCCACAAUUUAGAUUUCUUUUGUUGGUUGCCCCUAGCAGAAUUAUGAUGUUUUCUGCAAGGAGUCUGAAUAAUUGUCCUGAACAACUGUAAAGACAUAGUACUCAAAACCAAAUGAACUGCAUGCUUAUGUCCAAUUCAAAGCUACAAGCAAGUCUAGCACUUUUCAUUGCUGAAGUAAGUGACCAUGAUGAAGUACAGGAAAAGCACAAAAUGCGCAAAGUGAAGAACAAGCCUGGCGCUAUUUUAGCUUUGCUUUUCUUAAAGGCCAUUGGAUCUGUUUUUGUCUUAUAUUGACCCUUGGUCAGUGAGCAGUGGGAUUAGUUCAUUGGGCUCAGUGGAUAAGUUAUUAUAAUUAUACAAAAGCCUUAGAUGACUUGAUUAAUGAAGUGUAGGAGCUUAAUAGUUGUACUCAUUAAUGCUGCUUUAGACUAUUGAUUCUUGAGGCAUAUCUAAUUUUUUUGCUGCACUUGUAUUAUGGUGCAUAUGUUAUUUGUUAUGGUAUUUCAGUUUAUACAUAUAAUCUUUGAUGGACUUAUUUUCUCUGUUUAUGCUAGAAUCUGUUAUUCAGCAUGCAUGUUUUAUUGCUUAAGACGUUCAUGAACAUUAUUGUUUGACAGUUGUGAGUUCACGAACAUUAUUGUUUAAGCUGCAAAUUUAUAGGUUAUUUUGUGUUCUUAAGAGAGGAAGAAUUAUAAAUAGGUAAGAAUUAUAAAUCAACAACCAAGUAAGAGAAAGAAUCAUCAAAUAGGUAAGAAUUAUAAAUCCAAAGAACCUAGAAAGUAGAACAGAAAAAUUUUAAGCUCAAGAAAUUAUUAGAUAUUGUAUAUAUCUAAGCCAAUAUCUUAGUGAAAAUUCAAAGAGCUUCUUCCAUGCUCCUCGUACUCACCACAUAAAGUGUUGCCUCUCAUACAAAUUAUCAAAACCAAAAUCAUCAAAAUCUCAAAAAAAAAAAAAAAAAAAAGAGAGAAAGACAGCCUAAAAAAGGGAAGAAAGAUAGAAAAAUAAGAAAAUAUGUAUAUUCACCCUUGCAAGUUAAAGUUGUUCAAUAUUGAGAGUCCGAGGCUCAUUUUCAAUAGAUGAUGUCCUAUCCAAAGAAACCAUUGUUGCUCCCUCCAUUCUUGAACACUUUUAAUCUAUCAAUCAAACAAUCAUUUGAAUUGAUAACAAAAAGAAUAGGAUCCAAUAUGAAAUCCUGAUUGGGAGAAAUGGUAGUAUAUAACUAUAUAUAAACCGAGGUCAUGGUGGGCUAGAGUUGAAUAAGAAUUACGUGUCAUGAAUAUAGACCUAUUAAUGUAUAACAAAAAAGCCACUGAAUAUACAAAAAAGAUUAAUUCAAUUUUACAUUGGUUUGAAAUAUUUUUAAAUAUGUUUGAAUGCUCAUUCAAGUAUAGCAAACAAAAGAAAAUGACAAACCCAUUUUAUAAUUGUCGUUCUUUAUUUCUUUCUUCUAAAAGAUUGUUAAAUGUGAAGUACUAGCAAACAGAAAUUGUCAAAAAAAUUGGAAAUUGUCAAAUUGCUUGUCUUAGAGAAGUAACGUGACUAAUAAGCAAUGCGACACAUUACAUGUAUAGCUAUAUGCCUUUUAGUUCUACCUAAUUUUAGGCAUUACUUACUGAUUAAUGCUACAUUAAGAAUGUUAAAUAAUCAUGCCUUUUAGUUCCGCCUAAUUUUAGGCAUUACUUACUGAUUAAUGCUAUAUUAAGAAUGUAAGAUAAUCUGAUUUCAAACUCAUUUUAUUUGUGCAAUUAGGAAAAAACACACACUCACACAUAUGGCUACUAUAUCUAACAAAGAUAAAAAAAAAAACACAAACAUAACAGCAAAAUAAUGAGUCUCAGCUACCUGACGCAUGGCGUCAGGGCUGGAAAAAUAGUAUAUAUAUAAUCUUUCCAGAAAAUAAUUUACCAAAAUAAAUGAGAAAUAUUAACCCUUUGGUAUGUUUGUAUGGGCCAACGCAAUAGAAUUGGGCAGCUUCUCUUGGGCCUGUUUCGGGUAUGUUGAGCAUCGGCCCUUUUGUAUUCUUGCUCUUAGCUUGAUGAGCUGAUUGAGCCUGGCUAAUUGGUGAAUGGUGAUACAGUUGUUCUCUCUGAUUCUUUCUGCGGUCUUUCAUCUGUUUAUAGUUGAAAAACACUUCAGAAUCCCAGAUUCAGAGAGAGGCUAUCUAACUAUUGUUGGAUUAUCGCUGGCCAAAAAUCGCAUCAAGGUAGACUUUUUUAAUCCGUUUUCAGUAAUCUCUUUACUUCAACUUCCCUGCAAAAUGAAAUUUUAGAUAUUACCUGCAAAAUCUUCAAGAUUGCAUACUUCAAAUAUGUUUGAAUUCCUGUAAACUCUGCAUUGUUUUGAUUUUUGGAUGUCUUGUUGAAAUACUGGUGCUCAUGACACAGCUAGAAGAAGAAAGAAAGAGGACGAAGGAGCUGAAAAAGAAGAAGGAAUGAAGUUUAAGGAGUACGAUAGAAGGCUAGAUUCGGCUUCUUCUUGUACUUUGAGGAGUGCAUCGAACUGGUUUUUUUGAUAGAAUUUGAUGUUUGCAAAUAUGAGAGCUUGCAGUAGAUGGCGGAUAUUCCUUCUAUCUGUGCCUAUGAUAUUUUUCUUGCCUCAUAUACUAUCAGUAUUGAAGUUGCAGGAGGACUUAUCUGCACAAAAUUUGCACCGAGACAAGCCCAAGAAAUUCGAUCAUUUGGUUCUUGGAGCUGCUGCGGGGGUUGGUUUGCCUGAUCGCCUGCAGUGCGAAGGCACCAGAGCUCUUAAUAGGACACAGUUUUCUACCUUCUCUGAGAAUUCCAUCAAUGGGGACCAGAUAUCCUUUGUCACAGUGUUCACAACUUACAAUUCUAGUCUAGAUGUGCAAAUAGAUAGGAAAAUAAUUGACUUAGUAACUGUGGGGAACAAAUCAUACAACAAGGUGAACAGAUCACUGGCCAUUUUGAAUGUGUUCAUUGAUUUCAUUCAGGCAACCAUGUCCCACAGCAAAGUCAUCAUUCUUACUGAUCCAUCUUCUGAGCUUCCAGUGCACAGAAACAGGGUUACCAUACAUCCCAUUCAAGGUGAAUAUUCACGAGACAGGUUGAUGCUUCAAAGAAUCAGAUCUUACAUUGUCUUUCUAGAGACAAGGCUUGAAGAAUACUCACUGGGGAAGGGACAAAUCAAUCAUUAUAUUUUUACUGACUCAGAUAUAGCAGUCAUUGGUGACCUGGGACAAUUCUUUCGUGACUAUCCGAAUUUCCAUCUGGCUCUCACCUUUCGGAACAACAAGGAGCAACCGCUAAAUUCAGGAUUUAUUGCAGUUAGAGGCACUAUUGAUGGAAUGAAAAGGGCCAAGGCUUUCUUGGAGGAGGUACUCAAAGUCUAUAUCUCGAAGUACAUGAGAGCUUCCAGAAUGCUUGGAGAUCAACUAGCUCUUGCUUGGGUCGUAAAAUCUCAGCAUUCCUUUGAUGCAAGAAUGUUUACCAAAAAACAACCCUUUCUACAUGACAUUGAUGGUACCUCAGUGUUAUUUUUACCAUGUGCUAUCUAUAACUGGACACCACCAGAGGGUGCUGGGCAAUUUCAUGGGAUGCCCUUGGAUGUUAAGGUGGUUCAUUUCAAGGGAUCAAGGAAAAGACUUAUGCUUGAAGCUUGGGACUUUUUCUCAUCAUCUAAUUCUGACAUCUCAGAUAUGUUGUGCCUCAUUCUGAAGAGUGGGAGGACAAAGUAUGAUUUUUAAAUUUUGCUUUUUACAGUUUUCAGGCAGUGUUUAUGUCUGUUAAGGAUUUGAUUCAUUCAUUUGUGGAGAAAGAGGAAAGUGUUCAUGCCAGUGGAGAUUUGGCAUUCUAGAAGCCUGCACUUUAACUUGGCACAAAGGAAAAAGCCAUCCUUUGGCCUUCAGUUCAUUGUUUGGUGUCGUCGGUUGGCUGGUGAUCUUUUUCGUCUUUCCUACUCUCUUGAGCAUGGAAAUCAAAUCGUGUACCGAACAAAUGCGGAAUAGAUUCCAUUAUUUUACAUGAUUGUUACGAGCCACGCGACAUGCAAAUGUACACUAUACGGACUUUUUCCAUGUUCUUUCACAUAAGCGCCAUCUUUCUUGUAUUUUUUCCUUGUACUUUUGAGUAGCCUAUCGUUGGAGGUGGGAAGUAGUUCAAGAUGUAGACCCACCUAAAUGGUCUACGUCAAUAUAAUGGCAGAUUGUUUAGAAACCUGGGUUGGACCAACGACCGAUUGGACUAAAAAUCGGUCAUGAUUUUGGUUCGGUUUCAUAUUUUGGAUAGAUUGAAUUACAAAUCGGUCAAGAUUUUGAUUCGGUUCA